AAUAAGUGUAGUUUUGCACUAUUCACGUUCAACGUUUGACCGUUCGUCUUAUUUGAAAUUUUUUUUUUAUGAUUAGUAUUUUUAUUGCUAUUAGAUGAUAAAACAUGAAUAGUACUUUAUGUGUGACUAAUUUUUUUAGUUUUUUUAUUAAUUUUUCAAAUAAGACGAACGGUCAAACGUUGGACACGGAUUCCACAUUUGGACUUAGU
This is a non-coding RNA of Oryza glumipatula, 209 nucleotides long. The record is from Rfam. NCBI's taxonomy places the organism in Eukaryota, Viridiplantae, Streptophyta, Magnoliopsida, Poales, Poaceae.